Molecule: non-coding RNA, 284 nt
Organism: Styela clava
Lineage: Eukaryota; Metazoa; Chordata; Ascidiacea; Stolidobranchia; Styelidae
Source: RefSeq, a predicted model, not a curated record
CUAGUUUCCUCUUCAUAUUCUGUAAAGGGCAAGAAUGCGAGAAUAAGUGGAAAAACCUUCGAGAUAAAUAUAGGAGGGAAAAGAAGAAAAGGGCAGAAUUGAAAUCUGGUGCGGCGGCAAGUCAUCGGGUUGAGUGGAGCCUUAUGAGAUCCUUAGAGUUCCUUGAACCGUUUACAGCCAUGAGGAGUACAACAUCAAACCUGCCAAUGCCGGAUACACCAUCUUCGAGUGAUGUUGAUGUUACAUUGGAAGCGGUAUCAGCAGAUGAAACAGACCAAUUUCAA